AUUGAACGGCUGGCGGCAUGCCUUACACCAUGCAAGUCGAACGGCGAGCACGGGGGCGAACCCUGGUGGCGAGUGGCGAACGGGUGAGUAAUAAUAUCGGAACAUGCCCUGAAGUGGGGGAGUAACGUAGCGAAAGUUGCGCUAAUACCGCAUAUUCUGUGAGACCCCCGGAAAGCAGGGGAUCGCAAGACCUUGCGCUUUAGGAGUGGCCGAUAUCGGAUUAGCUAGUUGGUGAGGUAAAGGCUCACCAAGGCGACGAUCCGUAGCGGGUCUGAGAGGAUGAUCCGCCACACUGGGACUGAGACACGGCCCAGACUCCUACGGGAGGCAGCAGUGGGGAAUUUUGGACAAUGGGCGCAAGCCUGAUCCAGCCAUGCCGCGUGAGUGAAGAAGGCCUUCGGGUUGUAAAGCUCUUUCGGCGGGGAAGAAAUUGCUUAGGCUAAUACCUUAAGUAGAUGACGGUACCCGCAUAAGAAGCACCGGCUAACUACGUG
RNAcentral lists this ribosomal RNA (494 nucleotides) under uncultured bacterium. RNAcentral's name for it is "bacterial SSU rRNA". It matches the Rfam family "Bacterial small subunit ribosomal RNA", at positions 35 to 507 of the family's 1533-position model. The record is from RNAcentral.